AAAAGAAACACAAAGAAAAGGAACUAAUACCUAAUUUGGAUCGCCUCUCUAUCUCUCGCGACCUCUCUCUCUCUCUCGACGAACAGGAUGGAAAUCCUCUGUCUUCUCCGGUGAAAUCGAGCUCUUCUCUGCCUCUCCGCUUCUCUCUGCCUCUCUGCGUCUCUGCUUCUCUCCACCACUUCGCUUUUCUCCCCCCUUUCUCUGCCUCUAUGCUUCCUCCACCUCUCCGCCUCUCUCUUUCUCCACUUCUCUCCACCUCUCCGCCACUCUCUUUCUCUGACAUCGUGUUCACCUAAGAUAUGGAGUUAGACCUACCUAAGCGACUGUUUGGUUUGGGUUUGGAACCUCAGGUUGAUAAGAUUAACAAUUGCUGCAAGAUGCAACUUAUCAGGAAUCUGAAGAAAGCUAUGCCUCAAGAGUAUAAAGACGUGAAGAGAGAUCCUGUUUUCAAGCAUAUCAUGGCUAUUGCGGAAAACAAACUCAAGUUUUCGGCCAUAUUGGUGGAUAGUUUCUUGUGUAAGCAGCUUAUUACCUUGAAGAUGCAUGAGAAGUGGUUUGUUUUUGUGAGGACGCCUCUCACAUCCAUGAUCCAUACGCAUAUUCACGAGCAUCCCAUGCUAAAGAUUUUGAGAUCUCACAUCCAUGAUCCAUACGCAUAAUCUGUAUUAUAUCAUUGCAUUUCGGCCUUUCCUUAACGCCUUCAUACUUUUGCAUAAUCAGACUGCCUAUAGUUUUGGCUGAACCAAUCCUACCGGCUUUGGUUUUGCUUGAAGGUGCACAUGUAUGUUCACCAACAUACUUUUUGAUAAUGAAAUAUGUAGAAUCUUUCAAACA
Molecule: long non-coding RNA, 834 nt
Organism: Raphanus sativus (radish)
Lineage: Eukaryota; Viridiplantae; Streptophyta; Magnoliopsida; Brassicales; Brassicaceae
Exons: 2
Source: RefSeq, a predicted model, not a curated record